Molecule: ribosomal RNA, 306 nt
Filed under: uncultured fungus
Lineage: Eukaryota; Fungi
Description: partial 18S ribosomal RNA
Source: RNAcentral
AAGAUUAAGCCAUGCAAGACCCAGCAUAAACAAGUUGAUACGGCAGAAAUUUGAAUGAACCAUUAUAUCCACAAUGGUGUACGCUAUGGGACGUUAUUACUAGGCACCGUAGAGCCUCGAGAGGCAAUACUUGCAAAUAUACUAAAUACAUCCCUUGAGAGGUAGCAUUUAUUAGCAGAAACCAAUGCAGAAUUACCACGGUAUCCAUGGAAUAAGGAAAAAUCAAAGGAUCGCAAAUUGAUGUAAUGAACCGUUUGCGUUUCUGCCCUAUAAGCGUUGGAAGGUAGACUAGCACCUACCAUGGCA